This 307-nucleotide long non-coding RNA is filed under the name Homo sapiens (human). RNAcentral's name for it is "non-protein coding lnc-CARD14-4:2". The record is from RNAcentral. Lineage: Eukaryota; Metazoa; Chordata; Mammalia; Primates; Hominidae.
ACUUCUAAAGUUGGCGGUGUUUCGUACCGGCCGCGGGAUUUCGCGGACUGGGGCGCUGAGGUUCUUUGAGCGGCGUGUGGACCUGAAUUCCCUGGAAACAGGCUGGGGCCGCGAGGGGCCUCCGCUCCGGGCGGGGUCCCCAGAUAGCCCCGCCUCGAAUAAAAAUGACGAGCACGGGUCCUCUCUCGGGCCCGCAGUGGGUGGACUGCGUCGCAGACCCGUAGUGGAGGCGCCCAGCUCGCCGGGGAGAUUCGAGUGGAAACCCUCACGGCCGCCGGUGGUGGGCCCCGGCGCGGCGCUGGGCUCC